GCCACCGUAGCUCAGUCGGUAGAGCAGGUCAUUCGUAAUGAUCAGGUCGCUGGUUCGAUUCCAGUCGGUGGCU
RNAcentral lists this transfer RNA (73 nucleotides) under Calditrichota bacterium. RNAcentral's name for it is "Calditrichaeota bacterium (marine metagenome) tRNA-Thr". It matches the Rfam family "tRNA". From Rfam's summary of the family: Transfer RNA (tRNA) molecules are approximately 80 nucleotides in length. Their secondary structure includes four short double-helical elements and three loops (D, anti-codon, and T loops). The record is from RNAcentral. Lineage: Bacteria; Pseudomonadati; Calditrichota.